GACAGAGGUGCCAAGCGUUAGGCGGAAUCACUGGGCUUAAAGCGUGUGUAGGCGGAUCGUUAAGUACCUUGUGAAAUCCCACGGCUCAACCGUGGAACUGCUGGGUAUACUGGCGAUCUUGAGCCACCUAGGGGCGAGCGGAACAAGCGGUGGAGCGGUGAAAUGCGUAGAUAUCGCUUGGAACGCCAAUGGUGAAAACAGCUCGCUGGGGGUGUGCUGACGCUGAGACACGAAAGCGUGGGGAGCAAACAGG
This 253-nucleotide ribosomal RNA is filed under the name uncultured bacterium. RNAcentral's name for it is "partial 16S ribosomal RNA". It matches the Rfam family "Bacterial small subunit ribosomal RNA", at positions 524 to 776 of the family's 1533-position model. The record is from RNAcentral.